This 253-nucleotide ribosomal RNA is filed under the name uncultured bacterium. RNAcentral describes it as "partial 16S ribosomal RNA". It matches the Rfam family "Bacterial small subunit ribosomal RNA", at positions 524 to 776 of the family's 1533-position model. The record is from RNAcentral.
UACGUAGGGUGCGAGCGUUAAUCGGAAUUACUGGGCGUAAAGCGUGCGCAGGCGGUUUGCUAAGACCGAUGUGAAAUCCCCGGGCUCAACCUGGGAACUGCAUUGGUGACUGGCAGGCUAGAGUAUGGCAGAGGGGGUAGAAUUCCACGGUGUAGCAGUGAAAUGCGUAGAGAUGUGGAGGAAUACCGAUGGCGAAGGCAGCCCCCUGGGCCAAUACUGACGCUCAUGCACGAAAGCGUGGGGAGCAAACAGG